Molecule: ribosomal RNA, 468 nt
Filed under: uncultured bacterium
Lineage: Bacteria
Description: partial 16S ribosomal RNA
Rfam family: Bacterial small subunit ribosomal RNA
Source: RNAcentral
GACGAACGCUGGCGGCGUGCUUAACACAUGCAAGUCGAACGGAAAGGCCCUGCUUUUGUGGGGUGCUCGAGUGGCGAACGGGUGAGUAACACGUGAGUAACCUGCCCUUGACUUUGGGAUAACUUCAGGAAACUGGGGCUAAUACCGGAUCGGAGCUCCUGCUGCAUGGUGGGGGUUGGAAAGUUUGGGCGGUUGGGGAUGGGCUCGCGGCUUAUCAGCUUGUUGGUGGGGUAGUGGUUUACCAAGGCUUUGACGGGUAGCCGGCCUGAGAGGGUGACCGGCCACAUUGGGACUGAGAUACGGCGCAGACUCCUACGGGAGGCAGCAGUGGGGAAUAUUGCACAAUGGGCGGAAGCCUGAUGCAGCAACGCCGCGUGCGGGAUGACGGCCUUCGGGUAGUAAACCGCUUUCGCCUGUGACGAAGCGUGAGUGACGGUAAUGGAUAAAGAAGCGCCGGCUAACUACGUG